UAUACAGCGAGGAAGAGGAGAAGUAUCCGCUACGAUGCUGCAUAGAGAGCCCCUGGACGGUGAAAAGGGGAGAGCGGACGGCGGCGAAUACACCUUGGAGCUGGCACCCCAACGGCUUUUGCCCAGUAGGCGUGCUCCGGGAGCGCCCGUUACCGCGCUGUCGUGUGAUGGCACGACGUGAGGCCGUCUCCGUGAGGGGGCGGUGAACCAGAGGUGGUACCGCGAAUCUGUUCGCCCUCUGU
This 242-nucleotide non-coding RNA is filed under the name Oscillibacter sp. RNAcentral's name for it is "T-box sequence". It matches the Rfam family "T-box leader". From Rfam's summary of the family: Uncharged tRNA acts as the effector for transcription antitermination of genes in the T-box leader family. T-boxes are found upstream of many aminoacyl-tRNA synthetase genes and some amino acid biosynthetic genes usually in Gram-positive bacteria. Lineage: Bacteria; Bacillati; Bacillota; Clostridia; Eubacteriales; Oscillospiraceae. The record is from RNAcentral.